UACGUAGGGGGCAAGCGUUGUCCGGAUUUAUUGGGCGUAAAGAGCUCGUAGGCGGCUUGGCAAGUCGGGUGUGAAAACUUCAGGCUCAACCUGGAGCGGCCACUCGAUACUGCUAUGGCUUGAGUCCGGUAGGGGACCACGGAAUUCCUGGUGUAGCGGUGAAAUGCGCAGAUAUCAGGAGGGACACCAGUGGCGAAGGCGGUGGUCUGGGCCGGAACUGACGCUGAGGAGCGAAAGCGUGGGGAGCAAACAGG
Molecule: ribosomal RNA, 254 nt
Filed under: uncultured bacterium
Lineage: Bacteria
Description: partial 16S ribosomal RNA
Rfam family: Bacterial small subunit ribosomal RNA
Source: RNAcentral